RNAcentral lists this ribosomal RNA (868 nucleotides) under uncultured bacterium. RNAcentral's name for it is "bacterial SSU rRNA". It matches the Rfam family "Bacterial small subunit ribosomal RNA", at positions 102 to 981 of the family's 1533-position model. The record is from RNAcentral.
ACGGGUGAGUAACGCGUGAGCAACCUGCCUCAAACAGGGGGAUAACGCAUCGAAAGAUGUGCUAAUACCGCGUAAGACCACAGCAUCACAUGGUGCAGGGGUCAAAGGAGCAAUCCGGUUUGAGAUGGGCUCGCGUCCGAUUAGCUAGUUGGUGAGACAACAGCCCACCAAGGCGACGAUCGGUAGCCGACCUGAGAGGGUGAUCGGCCACAUUGGAACUGAGAGACGGUCCAGACUCCUACGGGAGGCAGCAGUGGGGAAUAUUGGGCAAUGGGCGAAAGCCUGACCCAGCAACGCCGCGUGAGGGAAGAAGGGUUUCGGCUCGUAAACCUCUGUCCUAUGGGACGAAGGAAGUGACGGUACCAUAGGAGGAAGCCCCGGCUAACUACGUGCCAGCAGCCGCGGUAAUACGUAGGGGGCGAGCGUUGUCCGGAAUGAUUGGGCGUAAAGGGCGCGUAGGCGGCCUGGUAAGUCCGGAGUGAAAGUCCUGCUUUUAAGGUGGGAAUUGCUUUGGAUACUGCUGGGCUUGAGUGCAGGAGAGGAAAGCGGAAUUACCGGUGUAGCGGUGAAAUGCGUAGAGAUCGGUAGGAACACCAGUGGCGAAGGCGGCUUUCUGGACUGAAACUGACGCUGAGGCGCGAAAGCGUGGGGAGCAAACAGGAUUAGAUACCCUGGUAGUCCACGCGGUAAACGAUGAGUGCUAGGUGUAGGAGGUAUCGACCCCUUCUGUGCCGCAGUCAACACAAUAAGCACUCCGCCUGGGGAGUACGGCCGCAAGGUUGAAACUCAAAAGGAAUUGACGGGGGCCCGCACAAGCAGCGGAGCAUGUGGUUUAAUUCGAAGCACCGCGAAAAACCUUACCAGGUCU